This 503-nucleotide ribosomal RNA is filed under the name uncultured bacterium. RNAcentral's name for it is "partial 16S ribosomal RNA". It matches the Rfam family "Bacterial small subunit ribosomal RNA", at positions 30 to 523 of the family's 1533-position model. The record is from RNAcentral.
AUUGAACGCUGGCGGCAGGCUUAACACAUGCAAGUCGAGCGGGGUGAUGGUGCUUGCACUAUCACUUAGCGGCGGACGGGUGAGUAAUGCUUAGGAAUCUGCCUAUUAGUGGGGGACAACAUCUCGAAAGGGAUGCUAAUACCGCAUACGUCCUCCGGGAGAAAGCAGGGGAUCACUUGUGACCUUGCGCUAAUAGAUGAGCCUAAGUCGGAUUAGCUAGUUGGUGGGGUAAAGGCCUACCAAGGCGACGCUCUGUAGCUGGUCUGAGAGGAUGAGCCGCCACACUUGGACUGAGACACGGCCCAGACUCCUACGGGAGGCAGCAGUGGGGAAUAUUGGACAAUGGGGGGAACCCUGAUCCAGCCAUGACGCGUGUGUGAAGAAGGCCUUAUGGUUGUAAAGCACUUUAAGCGAGGAGGAGGCUCUUUUGGUUAAUACCCAAGAUGAGUGGACGUUACUCGCAGAAUAAGCACCGGCUAACUCUGUGCCAGCAGCCGCAGUAA